Molecule: ribosomal RNA, 522 nt
Filed under: uncultured bacterium
Lineage: Bacteria
Description: bacterial SSU rRNA
Rfam family: Bacterial small subunit ribosomal RNA
Source: RNAcentral
ACAUCCCUUGAACGUCCAAGAGAUUGGAUUUCCCUUCGGGGGCAAGGAGACAGGUGGUGCAUGGUUGUCGUCAGCUCGUGUCGUGAGAUGUUGGGUUAAGUCCCGCAACGAGCGCAACCCCUGUAGUUAGUUGCCAUCAUUGAGUUGGGCACUCUAGCUAGACUGCCGGUGACAAAUCGGAGGAAGGUGGGGACGACGUCAAAUCAUCAUGCCCCUUAUGUCCUGGGCUACACACGUACUACAAUGGCUAUCACAGUGGGAAGCAAGACCGCAAGGUGGAGCAAAUCCCCAAAGAUAGUCCCAGUUCAGAUUGUGGGCUGAAACCCGCCCACAUGAAGUCGGAAUUGCUAGUAAUGGCAGGUCAGCAUACUGCCGUGAAUACGUUCCCGGGCCUUGUACACACCGCCCGUCACACCAUGAGAGUCUGCAACACCCGAAGUCAGUAGCAUAACCGUAAGGAGUGCGCUGCCGAAGGUGGGGCCGAUGAUUGGGGUGAAGUCGUAACAAGGUAGGCGUAGCGAG